RNAcentral lists this ribosomal RNA (275 nucleotides) under uncultured bacterium. Its description in RNAcentral is "partial 16S ribosomal RNA". It matches the Rfam family "Bacterial small subunit ribosomal RNA", at positions 338 to 630 of the family's 1533-position model. The record is from RNAcentral.
CCUACGGGGGGCUGCAGUGGGGAAUAUUGGGCAAUGGGCGCAAGCCUGACCCAGCAACGCCGCGUGAAGGAUGAAGGUUUUCGGAUCGUAAACUUCUUUGAUCGGGGACGAAAUUGACGGUACCCGAGGAACAAGCCACGGCUAACUACGUGCCAGCAGCCGCGGUAAUACGUAGGUGGCAAGCGUUAUCCGGAAUUACUGGGCGUAAAGGGCGUGUAGGCGGGAAGACAAGUCGGGAGUGAAAUCCCAGGGCUUAACCCUGGAGCUGCUUCCGA